This 77-nucleotide transfer RNA is filed under the name Marmota monax (woodchuck). RNAcentral describes it as "tRNA.Undet". The record is from RNAcentral. Lineage: Eukaryota; Metazoa; Chordata; Mammalia; Rodentia; Sciuridae.
UGGGGUUUAGGCUCAGUGGUAGAGUACUUGCCUACCUAGUAUGCACGAGGCCCUGGCUUCAAUCCCCAGCACCACAA